ACAUAUGGGUGGCGAGUGGCGGACGGGUGAGUAACGCGUAAGAAUCUGCCUUAAAGAGGGGGAUAACCCGAGGAAACUCGGGCUAAUACCGCAUGAAGUCGAGAGACCAAAGCUGGGGCGACCUGGCGCUUGAAGAGGAGCUUGCGUCCGAUUAGCUAGUUGGUGGGGUAAAAGCUUACCAAGGCGAUGAUCGGUAGCUGGUCUGAGAGGAUGAUCAGCCACACUGGGACUGAGACACGGCCCAGACUCC
RNAcentral lists this ribosomal RNA (250 nucleotides) under uncultured bacterium. Its description in RNAcentral is "partial 16S ribosomal RNA". It matches the Rfam family "Bacterial small subunit ribosomal RNA", at positions 80 to 339 of the family's 1533-position model. The record is from RNAcentral.